UAACGAAUAUUGGGCAAUGGGCGCAAGCCUGACCCAGCAAUGCCGCGUGCAGGAGGAAGCCCCUCGGGGUGUAAACUGCUGUCAGGUCCUAGCAAGCAAGGCGCGUUAAUAGCGCGCUGCGUUGAGCAGGGCCAAAGGAAGCCUCGGCUAACUCUGUGCCAGCAGCCGCGGUAAGACAGAGGAGGCAAGCGUUGUUCGGAAUUACUGGGCUUAAAGAGCGUGUAGGCGGUUUGGUAAGUGUCCUGUGAAAGCCCACGGCUCAACCGUGGAAUUGCAGGGCAAACUGCCCGACUUGAGGUCAGUAGGGGUGCUCGGAACUCUAGGUGGAGCGGUGGAAUGCGUAGAUAUCUAGAGGAACGCCAGUGGCGAAAGCGGAGCACUGGGCUGACACUGACGCUGAGACGCGAAAGCGUGGGGAGCAAACAGGAUUAGAUACCCCCGUAGUCC
This 447-nucleotide ribosomal RNA is filed under the name uncultured prokaryote. RNAcentral describes it as "bacterial SSU rRNA". It matches the Rfam family "Bacterial small subunit ribosomal RNA", at positions 355 to 796 of the family's 1533-position model. The record is from RNAcentral.